Molecule: ribosomal RNA, 116 nt
Organism: Apteryx haastii (Great spotted kiwi)
Lineage: Eukaryota; Metazoa; Chordata; Aves; Apterygiformes; Apterygidae
Source: Ensembl
CCUCCCAGAGAACUAUUACAUUUGAGCCCUGUCUCUUGUCCCUCAAGCUAAAAUGUGUCAAGCUAGGUCAGUCCUUAGAUGGGAGACCUCCAAGGAAGACCUAGUUACUGCAAGGA